GGUCCCAUCGUCUAGUCCGGCCUAGGACGUCAGGUUUUCAUCCUGGAAACACGGGUUCGAAUCCCGUUGGGACCG
RNAcentral lists this transfer RNA (75 nucleotides) under Candidatus Yanofskybacteria bacterium CG10_big_fil_rev_8_21_14_0_10_46_23. RNAcentral's name for it is "tRNA-Glu". It matches the Rfam family "tRNA". Rfam says of the family: Transfer RNA (tRNA) molecules are approximately 80 nucleotides in length. Their secondary structure includes four short double-helical elements and three loops (D, anti-codon, and T loops). The record is from RNAcentral. Lineage: Bacteria; Candidatus Yanofskyibacteriota.